Molecule: transfer RNA, 74 nt
Filed under: Lentisphaeria bacterium
Lineage: Bacteria; Pseudomonadati; Lentisphaerota; Lentisphaeria
Description: tRNA-Gly
Rfam family: tRNA
About the family: Transfer RNA (tRNA) molecules are approximately 80 nucleotides in length. Their secondary structure includes four short double-helical elements and three loops (D, anti-codon, and T loops).
Source: RNAcentral
GCGGGUAUAGUUCAACGGUAGAACAUUAGCCUUCCAAGCUAAUUGUGAGGGUUCGAUUCCCUCUACCCGCUCCA